This 406-nucleotide ribosomal RNA is filed under the name uncultured bacterium. RNAcentral describes it as "partial 16S ribosomal RNA". It matches the Rfam family "Bacterial small subunit ribosomal RNA", at positions 28 to 526 of the family's 1533-position model. The record is from RNAcentral.
GACGAACGCUGGCGGCGUGCCUAAUACAUGCAAGUCGAACGAGUGGCGGACGGGUGAGUAAUGUCUGGGAAACUGCCCGAUGGAGGGGGAUAACUACUGGAAACGUUAGCUAAUACCGCAUACCAUCGGAUGUGCCCAUAUGGGAUGAGCUAGUAGGUGGGGUAACGGCUCCCCUAGGCGACGAUCCCUAGCUGGUCUGAGAUGAUGCCCAGCCACACUGGAACUGAGACACGGUCCAGACUCCUACGGGAGGCAGCAGUGGGGAAUAUUGCACAAUGGGCGCAAGCCUGAUGCAGCCAGGCCGCGUGUAUGAAGAAGGCCUUCGGGUUGUAAAGUACUUUCAGCGAGGAGGCGUUACCCGCAGAAGAAGCACCGGCUAACUCCGUGCCAGCAGCCGCGGUAAUAC